This 78-nucleotide small RNA is filed under the name Sinorhizobium meliloti 2011. RNAcentral's name for it is "putative ncRNA". The record is from RNAcentral. Lineage: Bacteria; Pseudomonadati; Pseudomonadota; Alphaproteobacteria; Hyphomicrobiales; Rhizobiaceae.
AGAGCAUGGCGAAAUGCUCGACGAUCGGACCAAGCGCGAGCGCCGGCAAGAACUGCAGCCCGCCAAGAAUGAGAAUGA